ACCCUACGGGGCGCAGCAGUGGGGAAUAUUGCACAAUGGGGGAAACCCUGAUGCAGCGACGCCGCGUGAGUGAAGAAGUAAUUCGUUACGUAAAGCUCUAUCAGCAGGGAAGAAAAUGACAGUACCUGACCAAGAAGCCCCGGCUAACUACGUGCCAGCAGCCGCGGUAAUACGUAGGGGGCAAGCGUUAUCCGGAUUCACUGGGCGUAAAGGGAGCGCAGGCGGCACGGCAAGUCUGAUGUGAAAACCCGGGGCUCAACCCCGGGACUGCAUUGGAAACUGCCGGGCUGGAGUGUCGGAGGGGG
Molecule: ribosomal RNA, 305 nt
Filed under: uncultured bacterium
Lineage: Bacteria
Description: bacterial SSU rRNA
Rfam family: Bacterial small subunit ribosomal RNA
Source: RNAcentral